CCUACGGGAGGCAGCAGUGGGGAAUUUUCCGCAAUGGGCGAAAGCCUGACGGAGCAAUACCGCGUGAGGGAAGAAUGCCUACGGGUUGUAAACCUCUUUUAUCAGGGAGGAACAAAAUGACGUGUACCUGAUGAAUAAGCAUCGGCUAACUCUGUGCCAGCAGCCGCGGUAAGACAGAGGAUGCAAGUGUUAUCCGGAAUUACUGGGCGUAAAGCGUCUGUAGGUUGUUGAACAAGUCAACUGUUAAAUCUUGAAGCUCAACUCCAAAAUCGCAGUCGAAACUGUUUGACUAGAGUAUAGUAGAGGUAAAGGGAAUUUCCAGUGGAGCGGUGAAAUGCGUAGAUAUUGGAAAGAACACCGAUGGCGAAAGCACUUUACUGGGCUAUUACUGACACUCAGAGACGACAGCUAGGGUAGCAAAUGGGAUUAGAUACCCCAGUAGUCCUAGCCGUAAACUAUGGAUACUAGAUGUUGAACAGAUCGACCUGUGCAGUAUUAAAAGCUAACGCGUUAAGUAUCCCGCCUGGGAAGUAUGCUCGCAAGAGUGAAACUCAAAGGAAUUGACGG
RNAcentral lists this ribosomal RNA (567 nucleotides) under uncultured bacterium. Its description in RNAcentral is "bacterial SSU rRNA". It matches the Rfam family "Bacterial small subunit ribosomal RNA", at positions 338 to 916 of the family's 1533-position model. The record is from RNAcentral.